UAGGGAAUCUUCCGCAAUGGACGAAAGUCUGACGGAGCAACGCCGCGUGAGGGAAGAAGGAUUUCGGUUCGUAAAACUCUGUUGUUAGGGAAGAAAAAAUGUAUAGUAACUAUAUACAAAAGAGACGGUACCUAACCAGAAAGCCACGGCUAACUACGUGCCAGCAGCCGCGGUAAAACGUAGGUGGCAAGCGUUGUCCGGAAUUUUUGGGCGUAAAGCGCGCGCAGGUGGUUUAGAAAGUCUGAUGUGAAAGCCCACGGCUCAACCGUGGAGGGUCAUUGGAAACUAAUAAACUUGAGUGCAGGAGAGAAAAGUGGAAUUCCUAGUGUAGCGGUGAAAUGCGUAGAGAUUAGGAGGAACACCGGUGGCGAAAGCGGCUUUUUGGCCUGCAACUGACACUGAGGCGCGAAAGCGUGGGGAGCAAACAGG
This 429-nucleotide ribosomal RNA is filed under the name Verrucomicrobiota bacterium. RNAcentral's name for it is "Verrucomicrobia bacterium partial 16S ribosomal RNA". It matches the Rfam family "Bacterial small subunit ribosomal RNA", at positions 355 to 776 of the family's 1533-position model. The record is from RNAcentral. Lineage: Bacteria; Pseudomonadati; Verrucomicrobiota.